ACGCUCGACACCUACAGGAGGCAGCAGGUGGGGAAUAUUGCACAAUGGGGGAAACCCUGAUGCAGCGACGCCGCGUGGAGGAAGAAGGUCUUCGGAUUGUAAACUCCUGUUGUUGGGGAAAAAGAGGAUGGUACCCAACAAGGAAGUGACGGCUAACUACGUGCCAGUAGCCGUGGUAAUCUGAGCGGGCUGGCAAGGC
RNAcentral lists this ribosomal RNA (199 nucleotides) under uncultured bacterium. RNAcentral's name for it is "partial 16S ribosomal RNA". It matches the Rfam family "Bacterial small subunit ribosomal RNA", at positions 328 to 539 of the family's 1533-position model. The record is from RNAcentral.